GCCUGUGUAUGUCAAUAGAUCAUGGAGAGUUAGGUAUGGAAUAUUAAAGUACUUGGACUGUCCUAACUAUGUAGGUCAGUUAGUCUCUGAGGCUUUUGAUGUGGGGCCAAGGUCUUGAAGUCAUUGAAUGGCUCAUCCUAUUGAUGCUAGAGAGCGCUCGUCAAUAGUCAUUGCAAAACAGAACCGAUCUUGGGCUAGAUUAUGAGCCGUAUUCCUUAACUUGAAAUACUUAGAGAGAAAUUCUUGCA
RNAcentral lists this long non-coding RNA (248 nucleotides) under Elaeis guineensis (African oil palm). RNAcentral's name for it is "long non-coding RNA (EGUI_LNC066309)". The record is from RNAcentral. Lineage: Eukaryota; Viridiplantae; Streptophyta; Magnoliopsida; Arecales; Arecaceae.